Mobula hypostoma (lesser devil ray) is the source of this 785-nucleotide long non-coding RNA. RefSeq lists it as uncharacterized. Lineage: Eukaryota; Metazoa; Chordata; Chondrichthyes; Myliobatiformes; Myliobatidae. The transcript is spliced from 6 exons. The record is from RefSeq and is a predicted model, not a curated record.
UGAAAGAGGAACUCCAUCAAGAAUAACAUUGCUUUUGGGAGUUAUGUCAGGAUCUUCUUUAAGAAAAUGUGGAUUCAAUUACACAGGAUGUGUACACAAGCUGGCUGUAAACAUCGAUUAUCCUGGAAAUGAUUUUGAGUCAGUUCUUGCCCCAGAUGUCAAGUAUUGUCAAAAAUUGUGUACUGAGUGCAAAAAUUGCCAGUUUUUUACCUAUUUGACAAGGGAUUGGAACACUGACCAGGAAAGCUUGUUUUAAAGACCUGUUUGUUGGCCUGGAUUUCUUAGGAGAUGACUUCCGUCAGUUUGUAGUAGACGAUGAAUACAGCUGCCAAAGAGAAUGUACAGAGGAGCCUGACUGUCAGUACUUCACCUUUGCAAACGGGUUACUUCGCAACGCUCAGCAGCGUUACAUUUGCUACCUCAAAAAGAGCGAAGGAGGAACACCAUCGAAGAUAACAACUCUUGAGAAUGUUGUAUCUGGAUUUCCUUUAAGAGAAUGCCAGUUCAAUAAGUCAGUUUCAGAAUGUAGAAGAGAUCUUUCUGAAGAUAUAGAUUUCCCUGGAAAUGAUAUCACCUGGGUCCUUGCACCUGAUGCAAAUGUCUGUCAACAGCUGUGCACUGAUCAUCCCCAAUGCUUAUUUUUCACAUUUUUGAGAAAGAAUGGAGCACAGACCAUGGAAGUUUGUACUGAAAAAAUAUUUGAUGGUCUGGACUUUCCGGGGGAUGACUUGCAUCAGUCUGUAGUUGAGGAUGAACACAGUUGCCAGCGUAAAUGUACCGAGGAG